ACGAACGCUGGCGGCGUGCUUAACACAUGCAAGUCGAACGGUGAAGCCCUUCGGGGUGGAUCAGUGGCGAACGGGUGAGUAACACGUGAGCAACCUGCCCCUGGCUCUGGGACAACCACUGGAAACGGUGGCUAAUACCGGAUACGACCCGCCUCGGCAUCGAGUGUGGGUGGAAAGUUUUUCGGCUGGGGAUGGGCUCGCGGCCUAUCAGCUUGUUGGUGAGGUGAAGGCUCACCAAGGCGACGACGGGUAGCCGGCCUGAGAGGGCGACCGGCCACACUGGGACUGAGACACGGCCCACACUCCUACGGGAGGCAGCAGUGGGGAAUAUUGCACAAUGGGCGAAAGCCUGAUGCAGCGACGCCGCGUGAGGGAUGACGGCCUUCGGGUUGUAAACCUCUUUCAGCUCCGAAGAAGCGAAAGUGACGGUAGGAGCAGAAGAAGCACCGGCUAACUACGUG
RNAcentral lists this ribosomal RNA (461 nucleotides) under uncultured bacterium. RNAcentral's name for it is "partial 16S ribosomal RNA". It matches the Rfam family "Bacterial small subunit ribosomal RNA", at positions 29 to 507 of the family's 1533-position model. The record is from RNAcentral.